GAAAUGCGAUAAGUAAUGUGAAUUGCAGAAUUCAGUGAAUCAUCGAAUCUUUGAACGCACCUUGCGCUCCUUGGUAUUCCUUGGAGCAUGCCUGUUUGAGUAUCAUGAAAUCUUCAAAGUAAAUCUUUUGUUAACUCAAUUGGUUUCUACUUUGGUAUUGGAGGUCUUUGCAGCUUCACACCUGCUCCUCUUUGUUCAUUAGCUGGAUCUCAGUGUUAUGCUUGGUUCCACUCGGCGUGAUAAGUUAUCUAUCGCUGAGGACACUGUAAAAGGUGGCCAAGGUAAAUGCAGAUGAACCGCUUCUAAUAGUCCACUGACUUGGAUAAUACUUUUAUGAUCUGAUCUCAAAUCAGGUAGGACUACCCGCUGAACUUAAGC
This 378-nucleotide unclassified non-coding RNA is filed under the name plant metagenome. Its description in RNAcentral is "partial contains 5.8S ribosomal RNA, internal transcribed spacer 2, and large subunit ribosomal RNA". The stretch from base 1 to 105 matches the Rfam family "5.8S ribosomal RNA", at positions 50 to 154 of the family's 154-position model. The record is from RNAcentral.